GGCGGAGUAGCCAACUGGGAAGGCAUUGGUCUGCAAAACCGACAUGAAUGGGUUCGACUCCCAUCUCCGCCUCCA
RNAcentral lists this transfer RNA (75 nucleotides) under Verrucomicrobiota bacterium. RNAcentral's name for it is "Verrucomicrobia bacterium (mine drainage metagenome) tRNA-Cys". It matches the Rfam family "tRNA". Rfam says of the family: Transfer RNA (tRNA) molecules are approximately 80 nucleotides in length. Their secondary structure includes four short double-helical elements and three loops (D, anti-codon, and T loops). The record is from RNAcentral. Lineage: Bacteria; Pseudomonadati; Verrucomicrobiota.